GUAGAGAUGUGGAGGAACACCGAUGGCGAAGGCAGCCCCCUGGGAUGACACUGACGCUCAUGUACGAAAGCGUGGGUGGCAAACAGGAUUAGAUACCCUGGUAGUCCACGCCCUAAACGAUGUCAACUGGUUGUUGGGGGAGUGAAAUCCCUUAGUAACGAAGCUAACGCGUGAAGUUGACCGCCUGGGGAGUACGGUCGCAAGAUUAAAACUCAAAGGAAUUGACGGGGACCCGCACAAGCGGUGGAUGAUGUGGAUUAACUCGAUGCAACGCGAAAAACCUUACCUACCCUUGACAUGUCCGGAAUCCUGCAGAGAUGCGGGAGUGCCCGAAAGGGAAUCGGAACACAGGUGCUGCAUGGCUGUCGUCAGCUCGUGUCGUGAGAUGUUGGGUUAAGUCCCGCAACGAGCGCAACCCUUAUCAUUAGUUGCUACGCAAGGGCACUCUAAUGAGACUGCCGGUGACAAACCGGAGGAAGGUGGGGAUGACGUCAAGUCCUCAUGGCCCUUAUGGGUAGGGCUUCACACGUCAUACAAUGGUCGGUACAGAGGGUUGCCAAGCCGCGAGGUGGAGCCAAUCCCAGAAAGCCGAUCGUAGUCCGGAUUGUUCUCUGCAACUCGAGAGCAUGAAGUCGGAAUCGCUAGUAAUCGCGGAUCAGCAUGUCGCGGCGAAUACGUUCCCGGGUCUUGUACACACCGCCCGUCACACCAUGGGAGUGGAAUCUGCCAGAAGUAGGUAGCCUAACCGCAAGG
This 753-nucleotide ribosomal RNA is filed under the name uncultured bacterium. RNAcentral's name for it is "bacterial SSU rRNA". It matches the Rfam family "Bacterial small subunit ribosomal RNA", at positions 690 to 1446 of the family's 1533-position model. The record is from RNAcentral.